GUGCUCACUUCAGCAGCAUAUACACUGAAAUUGGAACAAUACAGAGAAGAUUAGUAUGGCCUCUGCACAAGGAUGACAUACAAAUUCAUGAGGUGUAAAAAAAAAAU
Vulpes vulpes (red fox) is the source of this 107-nucleotide small nuclear RNA. The record is from Ensembl. NCBI's taxonomy places the organism in Eukaryota, Metazoa, Chordata, Mammalia, Carnivora, Canidae.